Daphnia magna is the source of this 1135-nucleotide long non-coding RNA. RefSeq lists it as uncharacterized. Lineage: Eukaryota; Metazoa; Arthropoda; Branchiopoda; Diplostraca; Daphniidae. The transcript has 3 exons. The record is from RefSeq and is a predicted model, not a curated record.
GGCAAGUCAUUUUGCGUGAAGCUCUGUCAUCCCAUUAACUGAGUUUUUCCUGCAACGUUGCAUAAUAUUCUUACCAAUUACAUUAAUCGGCCCCUGACUGCAUGCUUCAAUAUGUCCCCGCAGUAACGGAAUGGUACCUACAGUUGGUGGUGUCCAGCCAGUGAGGAAUCGUAUUUCAUGGCUCCCAAGAAUCGGGAUUUGUUUCAAACGAAAUGCCUAAUACUGCCAUGGCUCAUGCAGCAAUCCUAAACGAUGAUAAGUUAGUGGACUCGUGUGCUCCUCGAAAGGCUGGUGGAAAGUUGCCAAUCGUGAAUGGUAAUGCGGACUAGUGGGAUUCCGCAAAAACUGGUGAAAAUGUACCAAAGAUAAAAGACGCGGAGUAUUUCUUCUGUCAAUUCAAAUGCCAGUCGAGGUUACGUGAAACAAAUACAUUGGUAAAACGGUGAACCCAUUGUGUUUCCCACUCAAACAAUCCUAUUGAACUCCACAAGCGGGUAGUGCCGAUUUCGUGUCCCAUUCAACUUUUCUACCCACCUCACAAAAGAUUACAAGGGUCAACGACGAUCCUCGAAACCGUAUUUUUCGACAACCCCUACAGCUUUUGCUGCUAUACGGUUGAUGUGGGUCCACUUCUUGAAGACUUACUGGACAAAUUGGCUGCAGCUUACACAGAAUCUAUAACAAGCGUGUGGGUGUCGGCUAAUACAAGGAUGAUGGCUGGCGGCACUGUGGCCUAAUCUUGAAAGUGGAAGGAAGUGAAGCCGAAGUGCUAUUUGUAGACAGUGACAAUAAACAGCUUACUUCCACUAGGCCAGUCGAGCAUACUGAGUCAAAUUGCCGUCCCUGGCUUAUCAUUGUUGUCUGGACGGCAUUCCAAAAUCCUCCGUUCUUGGACAUCCGAAGAUAAGGCACCGUUUUGAACAACUCGGCAUGGCCAAACGUAUCUUGGUCACGUACUCCAACCGAUGUGAAAAUAGCUACAUUCUCAGUUCAUGUAACGCUAGAGCACACUGGUGCCUGUCUUGUCGAAAUCGAUGACCUUUUCACUCCUGCUCGCAAAAUUCUUCCCGUGCCAUAUAUUGCCAGCUAUCCAGCCCUACCAACUUCGUCUGAAUCGACCUAAGUGAACUCGGCU